This 221-nucleotide non-coding RNA is filed under the name Novibacillus thermophilus. Lineage: Bacteria; Bacillati; Bacillota; Bacilli; Caryophanales; Thermoactinomycetaceae. The record is from RNAcentral.
CAACUUAAAAGAACGUCAGGUCUUUCGCAUGUCGAAAGUGAAGAGGGAAGUCCGGUGCAAAUCCGGCGCGGUCCCGCCACUGUAAGUGGGGAGUGACGCUGUCAAGACCACUGUUCGCACUUCGUCAAACGGCUAACAGCUUAACGACGGCAAGUGAACGGGAAGGGACGGUCGAACGAUGAUCCACAAGCCAGGAGACCUGCCUGUCGUUCGUGACGGCU